Punica granatum (pomegranate) is the source of this 3025-nucleotide non-coding RNA. Lineage: Eukaryota; Viridiplantae; Streptophyta; Magnoliopsida; Myrtales; Lythraceae. The record is from RefSeq and is a predicted model, not a curated record.
UCGCCUUCUUCUCCCGCGGGAGGAAAUGGAAUCGUAUAUAAAUCCUCAGUUUUGCAAUAUCGCUCCUCUCCUCUCCUCUCUCGCUGCCUUCCCGCCUCACUCUCUCGAGCUCACCGCGCACACGGAGCUUGCAUAGCAUUUGAUCUCCCCGGUCUUCUCGGAAAUGGAGGAAGUGGACGAAACCGAAGCCAAGCCUCAGGUUUAUAUGGCGUGCAUCCUCCAAGGUCACCGCAUUGGAGUUGCAUAUUACGACUCCAGCAUUCGCCAACUUAAUGUGCUGGAAGUUUGGGAAGAUAGGACAUCGGAUUUUCCCAUGAUUGAUCUCGUUAAAUACCAAGCCAAGCCCCUCGUAAUAUAUACAAGCACCAAGAGUGAAGAACCAUUCUUAGCUGCUUUAGAGAGAAGCGAUGGAACCAGCGAGGAGGCUCCUCCUGUGAAGCUCGUAAAAAGUUCACUAUUUAGCUAUGAACAAGCAUGGCACAGAUUGGUAUACCUUCGAGUAACAGGGAUGGAUGAUGGGUUAAAUAUCAAGGAAAGGAUCAGCUAUUUGAAUUCUAUGAUGGAUAUGGGAAGUGAUGUUGAAGUUCGAGCAAGUGGAGGCCUUCUAGCGAUAUUGGAGAAUGAACUGAUUGUUGAUACCCUUGAACAUAAGGAGUGUGGGAAUGCAUCCAUCUCUGUUGAUUCUGUGAUUGAGAUUUCACUAAACAAUUUUCUCAAACUUGAUGGAGCGGCUUAUGAAGCACUGCAGAUAUUUCAGAUAGAUAAACAUCCCAGUCAUAUGGGUAUCGGAAGAGCGAAAGAGGGGUUCUCUGUUUUCGGCAUGAUGAAUAAGUGUUUGACAACAAUGGGGCGACGUCUCCUGAGAAGCUGGUUCCUGAGGCCUAUACUGGAUCUCGAAAGUUUGAAUGGUCGUCUUGAUACUAUAUCAUUCUUCCUUCGUUCUGAAGAGCUCCUGAAUUCUCUACGUGAAACUUUAAAGUCUGUUAAGGACAUUCCCCAUAUCCUUAAGAUAAUUGGAGCACUUUUAUUUUUGUCCCCUCAUAUGAAGAAAUUCAACUCUCCAAGCUCCACAUGCACUUGCACUGAUUGGUCAGCUUUUCUGAAGAGCAUUUCUUCACUCUUGCAUGUGAACAAGAUAUUUGAAGUAGGCACUACUGACGAUCUUCAGGAGUACGCAAAGUUUUUGAAUUUGGACAUCAUUGACAAGGCUAGUUCAGUCCUUGGCACAGAGCUCGCUUAUGUCUAUGAAUUGGUGAUUGGUGUUAUUGAUGAAAGAAGAACUAAAGAGAAAGGUUAUGAGACAAUGGUAAAGGAGAGCUUCUGUGAUGAGUUAGAUGAACUGAGGCAAAUAUAUGAGGAAUUGCCAGAGUUUUUGGAACAGGUUUCUUCAAUGGAACUUUCCCAUCUUCCAGACCUGUGGAAGGAGAAGCCUGCUCCUUGUAUUGUAUAUAUCCAACAAAUAGGAUAUCUGAUGUGUGCUUUUGAAGAAAAACUUGAUGUGACACUUGGAAGGGUUCAAGAUUUUGAAUUUGCUUUCUCUGACACAGAUGGAGAUACAGAAAGGUUCUUCUACCACACUGCCAAGACACGAGAAUUAGAUGCCCUUCUUGGAGACAUUUAUCACAAAAUUUUGGAUAUGGAACGGGCAAUUAUGAGAGACUUGGUAUCACAUAUACUUGUAUUCUCAGCAAAUCUGCUUGAGGCUGUGAAUUUUGCUGCUGAACUUGAUUGCUACUUGUCACUGGCAUUGGUUGUUCGUCAGAACAAUUAUGUGAGGCCCACACUGACCGAUGAAAAUCUGCUUGAUAUACAAAACGGAAGGCAUGUUUUGCAGGAAAUGACAGUUGACACUUUCAUUCCAAAUGAUACAACUAUUGUUAGAGAUGAACGGAUAAAUAUAAUCACCGGUCCCAAUUACUCUGGCAAAAGUAUCUACAUAAAGCAGGUUGCUCUCAUUGUCUUCCUUGCACAUAUUGGAAGUUUUGUACCGGCAGAUGCUGCAACUGUGGGUUUGACUGAUAGGAUAUUUUGUGCAAUGGGGAGCAAACUCAUGACUGCAGAACAAUCAACCUUCAUGAUUGAUCUUCAUCAAGUAGGCAUGAUGCUAAGGCACGCAACUUCAAGAUCAUUAUGUCUGCUAGAUGAAUUCGGGAAAGGCACUCUAAAUGAAGAUGGAGUUGGCCUGCUUGGUGGAGCAAUAAAUUACUUUGUCAUGCACGAUCAACCCCCAAAGGUUUUGGUUUGCACUCACCUGACUGAAUUACUUGAUGAGAGCUAUUUGCUGAAGUCGGAGAAGAUCAAGUUCUACACCAUGAGUGUGCUAAGGCCUGAAGAUGCUUCAGCAGAUAUUGAGGACAUUGUAUUUCUUUACCGGCUAGUUCCUGGAUACACGCUUCUGAGCUAUGGUCUCCAUUGUGCACUCCUCGCUGAAAUUUUAACAAGAGGAUUACUUAGGUGCUCGGAGAAGACAAUGAUCUGCAGAAUUUACUAAUGAAGCCGUGUUGUUUUUCAACUGUCAUGAGAUGGUCUUCCGAAGGAAGUGAUUGACAGAGCUGCAUCGAUUCUAGGUAGCCCUGGAAACAAUCAGACCAUUGAUCGAGUGCACAAUGAGAGAAUAUUUGCUCAAGAUCAGCAAUACAAGAAUGCAUUGGAGAAGAUGCUGGCAUUCGAUACAAUUCACGGUGACCUCAGAAGCUUCUUUGAGGAAAUAUUAUUAUCAUAAUAUCCGAGGCAUGAAGUAAUUCUUUUCUUUGGCAACAAUAUACGUUCUGCUCUCGAGAUUCGUAUGUGUAUUUGUCAAGGAUUGGAUGAUGGAUAUACUACUGCCUGAUGUAGGGGACUAGUAGCAGCCGCUUCCAGUGGUGGUUAGAUAUUUUCUUUUAUUCUUCCUCUUAGAAGAAAAUAAGGAAGCUUUUCCUUUUCUGGGAAGUUGGGAAGUACGGCAUUUAAUUAGUUCAGACACAGCGCCCAGAUCUAGGAAUGUUUAGUGCAUGAACUUCAGUAAGACCGACAUUUAUUGAGUUUU